AGAAACUACAGCUUUGUUUUCUGAGGUAUGUACUGCAUCCAUAAUGCUUCUCUUAGCAGUUUUAAAUUAUCCAAAUCAUAUCAAAUCACAAAGAAACAGAAUAAGAUUUUGCUUUUUCCUCUUAUGCUUUCCUGGUAUUUGAUUCAAGGAAAAUAUAACUAAUCCCAAAACCAAGAAUUCAAAUGGAUUGCAGGUGGUUAAUGCUUGAGGCUGGAAGUUCGGAUUUAAAGCAUAUACUAAGGGAAGCUAACAAGGUAGCGGAUGAUUAGCAAUGCAUGGAAGUAAUUUGGAAGUUUUUGAAAGCUUAAAUGUUCUAUGAUGUACCCUUUUUCUUGCUUUAUCACCUUAUGAAAAUGAUUGACUAUGUACUAUGUAUCCUAGACAAAUCAAACUGUG
RNAcentral lists this long non-coding RNA (396 nucleotides) under Nicotiana tabacum (common tobacco). RNAcentral describes it as "long non-coding RNA (NTAB_LNC017007)". The record is from RNAcentral. Lineage: Eukaryota; Viridiplantae; Streptophyta; Magnoliopsida; Solanales; Solanaceae.